CACAGUACAAGAUAGUGCCAGUGAUGUGCUGUGAAGCUACCUUGCUUCGCAUCCGGCAAGCGUCCUUCCUCUGGACAAACCGAAGAAUCCUGGUUUGAAAAACGAAAAACUAGAUAAGAAACCCUGACUUGGUAUACUCCCUUUCCAUGAUUAGCUUUGCUAGUCUCAUGUACUGACUCACCUUCCUGCCAGGAACGAAAUCGAUGGAUGGUCCACCAGUAACUUCGACGGCAACAACUCCGGCGAGCUGGUCGACCAAACAGAGGAAGCAGGACUGGGGUGUCAAAACUUGUUCCAUUUGAUGAGAGAAGUUUCCAGAACAACAGGUGGCUAUCAGGUGCAAGGUGGUGUAUCUGACGGAAGAAAUACUGACCUAGAAGGUCAAUGGCAAUCUUGAUCCCUGCAUUAGCGCUGUGGCUGUGCUCCUGUGGGAACCGGAUGGAUCCGUUGGGGCCUCCGGUCUUGGUCUUGGCGUCGUAAGUGCCAGCGUCAUGCCAUCUGCAAGGUCGAUCGCCAUUGGAGGGUUUGCAAGAAAAUGUAAGGAAACAAGUACAGGACAGCAGUCCAAAGAUGGGCACAUGGGUAUGAACGGAAGAGGCUGAGAACGUACGCGAGGCGGAGCAUGAUGGGUGCGCAGUUCUUGCUGGCGAUGAGGGCACGGAGGUCCCGCCGCGCCCUCUCGAUCUCUGCCAUGUACUCUGCGUCCACCACGGGUGCUACCUCUGACAUUGCUGCUGAACUGGAAGCAGAAAAACUGAAGAAGAAACUGUUGUCCAGGAAACAGGGGACCUCUGCUCUGGUUUGGACUUUUGGAGCAGGGGAUAGAGAAGCAGGGGAGCUGUGGUUUUGUAGGGAAGGGAGGGAGGGAGAAAAGGGAGGGAAAAGAGGAAUCGAAUGGAGUGGAGGCGUGGAGAAAGCAAGGGAUGUCUCCAGAGGAGAGCAACGUGUUUUUGGAGGGGAGGAUCGAGGUUGAAUCGAUUUCAUUGGAUUCUUGCAGAGCUUUCUACCACUUUAACCCCUUCUCAUCUGAUGGGUCAUUGUCAAAUCACCUGCUGUAAAAUCAGCGACAGGUAAAGACUUUACCAGCUCAAAAAUAGGAUGCACGUUGAAAAUUUGUGACUUCAUUAUAACUCGUCGAUAGGUUUAAUAAUUAUUAUUCUUCA
Molecule: long non-coding RNA, 1163 nt
Organism: Panicum virgatum (switchgrass)
Lineage: Eukaryota; Viridiplantae; Streptophyta; Magnoliopsida; Poales; Poaceae
Exons: 2
Source: RefSeq, a predicted model, not a curated record